Molecule: transfer RNA, 80 nt
Filed under: Melampsora larici-populina 98AG31
Lineage: Eukaryota; Fungi; Basidiomycota; Pucciniomycetes; Pucciniales; Melampsoraceae
Description: tRNA-Gly for anticodon UCC
Rfam family: tRNA
About the family: Transfer RNA (tRNA) molecules are approximately 80 nucleotides in length. Their secondary structure includes four short double-helical elements and three loops (D, anti-codon, and T loops).
Source: Rfam by way of RNAcentral
GCGCUGUUGGUGUAGCGGUUAGCAUUGAAGCCUUCCAUCGAGAAUAGCUUUAGUCCGGGGUUCGAAUCCCCGACAGUGCA